Molecule: long non-coding RNA, 559 nt
Filed under: Felis catus (domestic cat)
Lineage: Eukaryota; Metazoa; Chordata; Mammalia; Carnivora; Felidae
Description: lncRNA (ENSFCAG00000044784.2)
Source: RNAcentral
GAGAGAGAGAGAGAGAGCGAGCAAGUGAGAGUGAGUGAGCAAGAGAGAGAAAGGGGUGGAGGGUCUAUCAAUCUAACAGGUUGGAGAUAAUCCCCUGUGUACCUUUAGUGACCUCCUUCUUAUAUUCCAAAUCAUAGCAUGUGUUCCAAUUUGACAAUGAUAAUCUGACUUCUUUGUCUUCAGAACUCUCAGGCUUCCUAACUGACAGGCCUGCUAGUAUUCUCAGAACUCUUGGGGCUUCCCAGUCUUUCUCAUCCACGUUGAUUUAUGAUUGCAGAUCAUAUCUCAUAGUUCCUUGUGGUGUGAUGGUAGCAUGGAUGCAGGAAAAAUUAUCUAAACCACAAACUGGUUGCAGUAUGAAUUUCACAGUCAGUCUGCCAAGAAUUCAGCACAUCUCUACCAAGGUUUGGACAAGAAAAAGCAGUCAUCAAAGGCAUGAGAAUAAGAAUCAGAAAUGGAGAUUAGGCCGUGUUGCUAACUCGUUGGAAAUAGAUGAAUGAGAAAGAGUUCUGAAUGAUGAAGACUGGAAUUGAAAUAAACAGAAGCAGAUAUUAAAACA